CUUAAAUAUUAAAACCAACGAACCAACAUUAUGAGGUUAAUUAUAACUAGACCUAAUAAACUAAAACAUUCUACCACCUUAGUAUGAGAGACAGAAAAGGAAUAUAUAAAGCAAUAGACUUAGUACCGCAAGGGAAAGCUGAAAGAGAAAUGAAACAAAUAAUAUAAGCCCAAAAAAGCAGAGAUUCAAUCUCGUACCUUUUGCAUCAUGAUUUAGCUAGUCAUAUUGAGCAAAGUGAACUUUAGUUCAACACCCCGAAACUGAGUGAGCUACCCCAAGACAGCCUAAUUAAGGGGCCAACUCGUCUCUGUAGCAAAAGAGUGAGAAGAUCUUUGGGUAGGGGUGACAGACCUAUCGAACUCAGUUAUAGCUGGUUGCCUAAGAAAUGGAUAUAAGUUCAGCCUCGUAUUCCCCAACUCAACAAACCAACUUUUAAAUAUAUGAAUAAGGGAAAUAUACGAGAGUUAUUCAAAGGGGGUACAGCCCCUUUGAAAAAGGAAACAACCUCAUCAGGAGGUUAAAGAUUAUAUUAACUAAGAUUACCGCUAUAGUGGGCCUAAGAGCAGCCAUCUGUGAAGAAAGCGUUAAAGCUCAAGCAGACAAUAAUCUAUUAUUCUUAUAUACUAUCUAAAACCCCUAAUCCUACUAGGCCUUUCUAUGCUAACAUAGAAAUGACACUGCUAAAAUGAGUAAUAAGAAGGCAACACCUUCUCCCUAGCCCAAGUGUAAGCUAGAUCGGACUACCCACUAGCCAAUUAACGAACUCAAAACAAGAGAGCAGCAUGACUUAAACAAAAUACAAGAAAACCUCAAAAAUAAAACAAUCGUUAACCCUACACUGGAGAGCUACAAGGAAAGACUAAAAGAAAAGGAAGGAACUCGGCAAACACGAGCCUCGCCUGUUUACCAAAAACAUCGCCUCCCGCAAAUCUCAACAUAUAGGAGGUCCCACCUGCCCAGUGACAAAUGUUAAACGGCCGCGGUAUUUUGACCGUGCAAAGGUAGCGCAAUCACUUGUCUUUUAAUUGAAGACCUGUAUGAAUGGUUAAACGAGGGCUUAACUGUCUCCCCUUUCCAGUCAAUGAAAUUGAUCUACCCGUGCAGAAGCGGGUAUUAAUAUACAAGACGAGAAGACCCUUUGGAGCUUAAGACAAUAUAUCACCUAUGUCAAGCAUAAAAAAAUGAAACUAAAUAAUAUCUGAUUACAGUCUUCGGUUGGGGCGACCGCGGAAUAAAAUAAAACUCCCACAAGGAUUGAAGAGACCCUUCAAAACCAAGAAAGACAUUUCUAAGUCACAGAAAUUCUGACCAUAAAGAUCCGGUCAUACCGAUCAACGAACCAAGUUACCCUAGGGAUAACAGCGCAAUCCUCUUUCAGAGUUCUUAUCGACAAGGGGGUUUACGACCUCGAUGUUGGAUCAGGACAUCCUAAUGGUGCAGCCGCUAUUAAGGGUUCGUUUGUUCAACGAUUAAAGUCCUACGUGAUCUGAGUUCAGACCGGAGCAAUCCAGGUCAGUUUCUAUCUGUAAAGAUAUUUUUUCUAGUACGAAAGGACCGAAAAAAUUGGGCCUACACUCACAGUGCGCCCACCUCUAACUUAAUGAAAACAACUAAAUUAAAUAAAAGAGGACAUAACAACAAAUUAAGAUAAAGUU
RNAcentral lists this ribosomal RNA (1655 nucleotides) under Hoplosternum littorale (atipa). RNAcentral's name for it is "partial 16S ribosomal RNA". The stretch from base 93 to 1544 matches the Rfam family "Bacterial large subunit ribosomal RNA". The record is from RNAcentral. Lineage: Eukaryota; Metazoa; Chordata; Actinopteri; Siluriformes; Callichthyidae.